RNAcentral lists this ribosomal RNA (468 nucleotides) under uncultured bacterium. Its description in RNAcentral is "partial 16S ribosomal RNA". It matches the Rfam family "Bacterial small subunit ribosomal RNA", at positions 28 to 507 of the family's 1533-position model. The record is from RNAcentral.
GACGAACGCUGGCGGCGUGCUUAACACAUGCAAGUCGAACGGAAAGGCCCUGCUUUUGUGGGGUGCUCGAGUGGCGAACGGGUGAGUAACACGUGAGUAACCUGCCCUUGACUUUGGGAUAACUUCAGGAAACUGGGGCUAAUACCGGAUAGGAGCUCCUGCUGCAUGGUGGGGGUUGGAAAGUUUCGGCGGUUGGGGAUGGACUCGCGGCUUAUCAGCUUGUUGGUGGGGUAGUGGCUUACCAAGGCUUUGACGGGUAGCCGGCCUGAGAGGGUGACCGGCCACAUUGGGACUGCGAGACGGCGCAGACUCCUACGGGAGGCAGCAGUGGGGAAUAUUGCACAAUGGGCGGAAGCCUGAUGCAGCAACGCCGCGUGCGGGAUGACGGCCUUCGGGUUGUAAACCGCUUUCGCCUGUGACGAAGCGUGAGUGACGGUAAUGGGUAAAGAAGCACCGGCUAACUACGUG